RNAcentral lists this small nucleolar RNA (92 nucleotides) under Sorex araneus (European shrew). RNAcentral's name for it is "Small nucleolar RNA SNORA71 (ENSSARG00000019864.1)". Lineage: Eukaryota; Metazoa; Chordata; Mammalia; Eulipotyphla; Soricidae. The record is from RNAcentral.
CCCAGUCAUAGAUACUGCGGGAGUAACUGCUGAAAGCCUUUCACAUGUUUGGGGGCUGUCCCAUCCCCUCCAAACCCAGGUGCUUUCGUAAG